RNAcentral lists this ribosomal RNA (497 nucleotides) under uncultured bacterium. RNAcentral's name for it is "partial 16S ribosomal RNA". It matches the Rfam family "Bacterial small subunit ribosomal RNA", at positions 28 to 507 of the family's 1533-position model. The record is from RNAcentral.
GAUGAACGCUGGCGGCGUGCCUAAUACAUGCAAGUCGAGCGAACAGACGAGGAGCUUGCUCCUCUGACGUUAGCGGCGGACGGGUGAGUAACACGUGGAUAACCUACCUAUAAGACUGGGAUAACUUCGGGAAACCGGAGCUAAUACCGGAUAAUAUAUUGAACCGCAUGGUUCAAUAGUGAAAGACGGUUUUGCUGUCACUUAUAGAUGGAUCCGCGCCGCAUUAGCUAGUUGGUAAGGUAACGGCGUACCAAGGCAACGAUGCGUAGCCGACCUGAGAGGGUGAUCGGCCACACUGGAACUGGGACACGGCCCAGACUCCUACGGGAGGCAGCAGUAGGGAAUCUUCCGCAAUGGGCGAAAGCUUGCCGGAGCAACGCCGCGUGAGUGAUGAAGGUCUUCGGAUCGUAAAACUCUGUUAUUAGGGAAGAACAAAUGUGUAAGUAACUAUGCACGUCGUGACGGUACCUAAUCAGAAAGCCACGGCUAACUACGUG